This 116-nucleotide ribosomal RNA is filed under the name uncultured bacterium. RNAcentral's name for it is "partial 16S ribosomal RNA". It matches the Rfam family "Bacterial small subunit ribosomal RNA", at positions 1369 to 1482 of the family's 1533-position model. The record is from RNAcentral.
CGUUCCCGGGCCUUGUACACACCGCCCGUCACACCACGAAAGUUGGCAAUACCCGAAGCCGGUGGGCUAACCCUUUUGGGAGGCAGCCGUCGAAGGUAGGGUCGAUGAUUGGGGUG